This 490-nucleotide ribosomal RNA is filed under the name uncultured bacterium. RNAcentral describes it as "partial 16S ribosomal RNA". It matches the Rfam family "Bacterial small subunit ribosomal RNA", at positions 30 to 507 of the family's 1533-position model. The record is from RNAcentral.
AUUGAACGCUGGCGGCAGGCCUAACACGUGCAAGUCGAACGGUAACAGGAAACAGCUUGCUGUUUCGCUGACGAGUGGCGGACGGGUGAGUAAUGUCUGGGAAACUGCCUGAUGGAGGGGGAUAACUACUGGAAACGGUAGCUAAUACCGCAUAACGUCGCAAGACCAAAGAGGGGGACCUUCGGGCCUCUUGCCAUCAGAUGUGCCCAGAUGGGAUUAGCUAGUAGGUGGGGUAACGGCUCACCUAGGCGACGAUCCCUAGCUGGUCUGAGAGGAUGACCAGCCACACUGGAACUGAGACACGGUCCAGACUCCUACGGGAGGCAGCAGUGGGGAAUAUUGCACAAUGGGCGCAAGCCUGAUGCAGCCAUGCCGCGUGUAUGAAGAAGGCCUUCGGGUUGUAAAGUACUUUCAGCGGGGAGGAAGGGAGUAAAGUUAAUACCUUUGCUCAUUGACGUUACCCGCAGAAGAAGCACCGGCUAACUCCGUG